Molecule: transfer RNA, 64 nt
Filed under: Bosmina fatalis
Lineage: Eukaryota; Metazoa; Arthropoda; Branchiopoda; Diplostraca; Bosminidae
Description: tRNA-Met
Source: RNAcentral
GGAAAGGUAAGCUAAGUUAAGCUUUUGGGCUCAUGCCCCGACUAUAGAUUUUAUCUCCUCUCCA